UACGGGGGGAGCAAGCGUUGUUCGGAUUUACUGGGCGUAAAGGGCGCGUAGGCGGCCACCGCAAGUCAAUUGUGAAAUCUCCGGGCUUAACUCGGAAAGGUCAACUGAUACUGUGCGGCUAGAGUGCGGAAGGGGCAACUGGAAUUCUUGGUGUAGCGGUGAAAUGCGUAGAUAUCAAGAGGAACACCUGCGGCGAAGGCGGGUUGCUGGGCCGACACUGACGCUGAGGCGCGAAAGCCAGGGGAGUGAACGGG
RNAcentral lists this ribosomal RNA (254 nucleotides) under uncultured bacterium. RNAcentral describes it as "partial 16S ribosomal RNA". It matches the Rfam family "Bacterial small subunit ribosomal RNA", at positions 524 to 776 of the family's 1533-position model. The record is from RNAcentral.